CAGGACGCGGGUUGAUUUCAUAUUCCAAAAACUGGGAUAUGAAAUCAGCCCACGUCCUGACGGAUAAUCUGUGAUGAGAUUUGAACAUUGUCUUUCAGCAGGUCUUCGCUCAUAGCACAGAUAAUGGAAUGGGAUUGUGGACACUUCUAGAAGGCUUUCUGCUUCUUGCAAAUGCUCUGGCCAUACUAAAUGAAGAUCGUUUCCUUGCCCCUAGGGGAUGGAGCUUCCUGGAGUAUUCUGGAAUUAAGAGAAACUCAUUGAAAGGGCAGAUACUUGGUCUUAUUUACGCAACUCAGUACUUAAUUAAGAGUGCCUCUCAUACUUCUAUGCAUUAUUGUGAAAAUGGUAUCAGGGUGAUGCUUGCCUCCCUUAAUUUAAAGGGAUUGUUUCACUUUUCAUGUAUGCAUCGAACUGCUUUGCUUUGUUUAAGGGGGUUUCCUUGUCCUUGGCCACAUAUAUGUUUGAUAAAAAUAGAGAUAUUGAACUAGAAUGUAUUUUAAUAAGUUGCUAUACUUA
Long non-coding RNA from Salvia splendens (bonfire salvia), 516 nucleotides. RefSeq lists it as uncharacterized. The record is from RefSeq and is a predicted model, not a curated record. The transcript has 2 exons. NCBI's taxonomy places the organism in Eukaryota, Viridiplantae, Streptophyta, Magnoliopsida, Lamiales, Lamiaceae.